AACGCUAGCUACAGGCUUAACACAUGCAAGCCGAGGGGCAUCAGGGUAGCAAUACCGCUGGCGACCGGCGCACGGGUGAGUAACACGUAUCCAACCUACCGUUAACUCGGGGAUAGCCUUUCGAAAGAAAGAUUAAUACCCGAUAGUAUAUUUUCUUCGCAUGUUGAAAAUAUUAAAGAAUUUCGGUUAUCGAUGGGGAUGCGUUCCAUUAGGCAGUUGGCGGGGUAACGGCCCACCAAACCUACGAUGGAUAGGGGUUCUGAGAGGAAGGUCCCCCACAUUGGAACUGAGACACGGUCCAAACUCCUACGGGAGGCAGCAGUGAGGAAUAUUGGUCAAUGGACGAAGGUCUGAACCAGCCAAGUAGCGUGAAGGAUGACUGCCCUAUGGGUUGUAAACUUCUUUUAUAUGGGAAUAAAGUUCUCCACGUGUGGAGUUUUGUAUGUACCAUUAUGAAUAAGCAUCGGCUAACUCCGUGCCAGCAGCCGCGGUAAUACGGAGGAUGCGAGCGUUAUCCGGAUUUAUUGGGUUUAAAGGGAGCGUAGGUGGACUGGUAAGUCAGUUGUGAAAGUUUGCGGCUCAACCGUAAAAUUGCAGUUGAUACUGUCAGUCUUGAGUACAGUAGAGGUGGGCGGAAUUCGUGGUGUAGCGGUGAAAUGCUUAGAUAUCACGAAGAACUCCGAUUG
This 686-nucleotide ribosomal RNA is filed under the name uncultured bacterium. RNAcentral's name for it is "bacterial SSU rRNA". It matches the Rfam family "Bacterial small subunit ribosomal RNA", at positions 32 to 715 of the family's 1533-position model. The record is from RNAcentral.